This 404-nucleotide ribosomal RNA is filed under the name uncultured bacterium. Its description in RNAcentral is "bacterial SSU rRNA". It matches the Rfam family "Bacterial small subunit ribosomal RNA", at positions 355 to 775 of the family's 1533-position model. The record is from RNAcentral.
UAGGGAAUAUUGGUUAAUGUGCGAAAGCGCGAACCAGCAACGCCGCGUGUGCGAAGAAGGCCUUCGGGUCGUAAAGCACUUUUUGAAGGGAUGAGGAAGGACAGUACCUUCAGAAUAAGCCUCGGCUAACUACGUGCCAGCAGCCGCGGUAAAACGUAGGAGGCAAGCGUUAUCCGGAUUUACUGGGCGUAAAGCACGUGCAGGCGGUUCAGAAAGUUGGAUGUGAAAGCUCCUGGCUUAACUGGGAGAGGUCGUUCAAUACUUCUGGACUAGAGGAUAGGAGAGGGAGGUGGAAUUCCGGGUGUAGUGGUGAAAUGCGUAGAUAUCCGGAGGAACACCAGUGGCGAAAGCGGCCUCCUGGCCUAUUUCUGACGCUCAGACGCGAAAGCUAGGGUAGCAAACGG